Molecule: long non-coding RNA, 1694 nt
Filed under: Podarcis muralis (Common wall lizard)
Lineage: Eukaryota; Metazoa; Chordata; Lepidosauria; Squamata; Lacertidae
Description: lncRNA (ENSPMRG00000022794.1)
Source: RNAcentral
UCUAAGAAUUAAAGAAACAGGGAAGCAAGCGAGAUGCUGAAGUGUAGAAUAGUAAUAAUACAGAGUCCAACAACAGUGGAAAUGUAAAGGAUGGAGAAGUGGAUGUGAUUUCAGCCCAGAACAAACAACCAAUUGUUGCUGGUGGUGGGAGAUUUAGGCCACAUUCACACCAGCCUUUGAUCAUUUUGGUUGCCCUAACUAACUAACUAACUAACUAACUAACUAAACUAACUGCAGUCCAUAGAUUAUGUUAAGACCAAACAUGAGAGGCAAGAUGGAAAUUUUUUAAAAAUAAGGUGAACUCCUAUGUCCAGUAUCCAUAUCUCAUAUGACCAUACCAGGAGCGAAAAAGCCACUAGUGUAGCUGUUUUGAGUUCCAAAGUCAUGAAAAAUUUGCACAGAUGGUGGAUGUUUCUUGGGAGAGAAAGGGAGGGGGAAAUUGGUGUAUGAGCCACUAGGAAGCAAGCAGGAUCCAUCAUAUCUAAUUAUUUGUUCUUAAUUGUCAGGGAAAAGGGUGGAUUGAUGAAAAGCAGCUGGGUGAUAACAUUAAGUUUCUCAAAGCCAAGAACUGUAGUAGAUUGAAAGUUUUGCCUUUUCAUAAUCCACGGACUGUUAAUUAUCUAAACACAGGUCCCUUGGAGCUGCCGGAGUGAAGAUUAAUUAGUUUUUGAAAGAAUAGCUAAAUUGAUGCCAGAAAAGAGGGCUUGGGCUUUGAAAAUAAUGGCUGAAAAUUAGCCAAGCCUCUUUCUUCAUUCCUCUUUGUGGGGCUCCAGAUGAGAUUUGUCUCUGCUGUUUUGGUGGAGAGGAGCCAUUAAUCAAACAGGCAGACGUUCCUUCCCAAAGUCGGGAACGCGGCGGAGUGGACGACAAAAUCAUCCACACGGAAGGGAAAUGACGAGAAAGCGUGGCAGAUUCCAUGCUGCACGGAUCUGCACAGGUUCCAGCUUUGUUUCUGCAAGCCAUUCUGCAUACAUGCAUUGCCAGCAAACAAUGAAAAAUCCACCCCAAAAAAACUCGGGAGGGAGGUGAUGGCAGCAGCAGCAGCAGCUUGGCUUUUCCCAGAUAGAGAGAAGCUAUUAAUCUACGGCGGGUCCAGCAGCCAAGUGAGACACGCAAGCAUCCCACAACACCACCACCAGAAGGUGAUGCGUUUCUUCAAGCUCAGUCCGAGUUUUUGAAGAUAACAGAAGACAUCUUUUUUAAAAAGUGCAUGAGCUCAAGUGGAGACUUGAAUACAUUCCUUCCACCUGGUCAGGUGAAAAAGACCAGACAAGACAUUGUUCAGAUGCAGGAAAGGAAGCUCUUCCAUAAUACUAGAACUUAGGGAUAUCCAAUGAAGCUGAAUAUUGGAGAUUCAGGCCAGAACAAGGAAAGGACUGAUUCACACAGCACAUCGUUAUGCGACCCAUGAGCCAAGGAGAUAGAAGACAUCUGAAGGCAGCCCUGUAGGGAAGUUUCUUAUUGUUUUGUUAAGUUUUUAUAUCUGUUGGAAGCCACCCAGAGUGGCUGGGUCAACCCAGUCAGAUGGGCAGGGUAUAAAUAAUAAAAUAAUAAAACUGUUGUUGUUAUAUAGGAUGUCCCUAUUUCCAUCAGAGGGUAUGGAACUAUGGAACUCCUGGAUGGAAAACCUGGAUGGCUUUAAGAUAGAAUUAGAGAUAUGCAUGGAGACAGCUCUCAAUCUCCAUCUUACAAUC